Molecule: ribosomal RNA, 253 nt
Filed under: uncultured bacterium
Lineage: Bacteria
Description: partial 16S ribosomal RNA
Rfam family: Bacterial small subunit ribosomal RNA
Source: RNAcentral
UACGAAGGGGGCUAGCGUUGCUCGGAAUUACUGGGCGUAAAGGGCGCGUAGGCGGACAGUUAAGUCGGGGGUGAAAGCCCGGGGCUCAACCUCGGAAUUGCCUUCGAUACUGGCUGUCUUGAGUGCAGGAGAGGUGUGUGGAACUCCGAGUGUAGAGGUGAAAUUCGUAGAUAUUCGGAAGAACACCAGUGGCGAAGGCGACACACUGGGUCGUUACUGACGCUGAGGCGCGAAAGCGUGGGGAGCAAACAGG